This 1164-nucleotide ribosomal RNA is filed under the name Escherichia coli. RNAcentral describes it as "partial 23S ribosomal RNA". It matches the Rfam family "Bacterial large subunit ribosomal RNA", at positions 609 to 1773 of the family's 2925-position model. The record is from RNAcentral. Lineage: Bacteria; Pseudomonadati; Pseudomonadota; Gammaproteobacteria; Enterobacterales; Enterobacteriaceae.
UGUAUAAUGGGUCAGCGACUUAUAUUCUGUAGCAAGGUUAACCGAAUAGGGGAGCCGAAGGGAAACCGAGUCUUAACUGGGCGUUAAGUUGCAGGGUAUAGACCCGAAACCCGGUGAUCUAGCCAUGGGCAGGUUGAAGGUUGGGUAACACUAACUGGAGGACCGAACCGACUAAUGUUGAAAAAUUAGCGGAUGACUUGUGGCUGGGGGUGAAAGGCCAAUCAAACCGGGAGAUAGCUGGUUCUCCCCGAAAGCUAUUUAGGUAGCGCCUCGUGAAUUCAUCUCCGGGGGUAGAGCACUGUUUCGGCAAGGGGGUCAUCCCGACUUACCAACCCGAUGCAAACUGCGAAUACCGGAGAAUGUUAUCACGGGAGACACACGGCGGGUGCUAACGUCCGUCGUGAAGAGGGAAACAACCCAGACCGCCAGCUAAGGUCCCAAAGUCAUGGUUAAGUGGGAAACGAUGUGGGAAGGCCCAGACAGCCAGGAUGUUGGCUUAGAAGCAGCCAUCAUUUAAAGAAAGCGUAAUAGCUCACUGGUCGAGUCGGCCUGCGCGGAAGAUGUAACGGGGCUAAACCAUGCACCGAAGCUGCGGCAGCGACGCUGAUGCGUUGUUGGGUAGGGGAGCGUUCUGUAAGCCUGCGAAGGUGUGCUGUGAGGCAUGCUGGAGGUAUCAGAAGUGCGAAUGCUGACAUAAGUAACGAUAAAGCGGGUGAAAAGCCCGCUCGCCGGAAGACCAAGGGUUCCUGUCCAACGUUAAUCGGGGCAGGGUGAGUCGACCCCUAAGGCGAGGCCGAAAGGCGUAGUCGAUGGGAAACAGGUUAAUAUUCCUGUACUUGGUGUUACUGCGAAGGGGGGACGGAGAAGGCUAUGUUGGCCGGGCGACGGUUGUCCCGGUUUAAGCGUGUAGGCUGGUUUUCCAGGCAAAUCCGGAAAAUCAAGGCUGAGGCGUGAUGACGAGGCACUACGGUGCUGAAGCAACAAAUGCCCUGCUUCCAGGAAAAGCCUCUAAGCAUCAGGUAACAUCAAAUCGUACCCCAAACCGACACAGGUGGUCAGGUAGAGAAUACCAAGGCGCUUGAGAGAACUCGGGUGAAGGAACUAGGCAAAAUGGUGCCGUAACUUCGGGAGAAGGCACGCUGAUAUGUAGGUGAAGCGACUUGC